Molecule: transfer RNA, 88 nt
Filed under: SAR202 cluster bacterium
Lineage: Bacteria; Bacillati; Chloroflexota; Dehalococcoidia
Description: tRNA-Ser
Rfam family: tRNA
About the family: Transfer RNA (tRNA) molecules are approximately 80 nucleotides in length. Their secondary structure includes four short double-helical elements and three loops (D, anti-codon, and T loops). Further hydrogen bonds mediate the characteristic L-shaped molecular structure. tRNAs have two regions of fundamental functional importance: the anti-codon, which is responsible for specific mRNA codon recognition, and the 3' end, to which the tRNAs corresponding amino acid is attached (by aminoacyl-tRNA synthetases). tRNAs cope with the degeneracy of the genetic code in two manners: having more than one tRNA (with a specific anti-codon) for a particular amino acid; and 'wobble' base-pairing, i.e. permitting non-standard base-pairing at the 3rd anti-codon position.
Source: RNAcentral
GGAGGGGUGGCCGAGUGGUUUAAGGCGCCUGUCUUGAAAACAGGUUUCCCGAAAGGGAACGUGGGUUCGAAUCCCACUCCCUCCGCCA